Molecule: long non-coding RNA, 258 nt
Filed under: Phoenix dactylifera (date palm)
Lineage: Eukaryota; Viridiplantae; Streptophyta; Magnoliopsida; Arecales; Arecaceae
Description: long non-coding RNA (PDAC_LNC012248)
Source: RNAcentral
CGCUUGGAGUCGACUCGUAAUAUCCCGAAGUCGACUCGAGUCUCAGACUUUAGUUCAUAUUGACUUCUUAACUUAUCCAAAAUGUCUUGAACCAAAUCUAGAGACACUUAACCAUAAAAUUUACAAGAAUAUCACUGAAACGCUAGAUUGAAUUCAUUAGUAAACAUAAGAUAUACUCAAAUGCUUUGAACUCAUCAAAAUCAAAUAGGGUUAUAAUCAAUCACUCCACAAUCUCCCCCUUUUUGAUGAUGAUAAAAC